This 253-nucleotide ribosomal RNA is filed under the name uncultured bacterium. RNAcentral describes it as "partial 16S ribosomal RNA". It matches the Rfam family "Bacterial small subunit ribosomal RNA", at positions 524 to 776 of the family's 1533-position model. The record is from RNAcentral.
UACGGGGGGGGCAAGCGUGGUGCGGAAUUACUGGGCGUAAAGGGUUCGUAGGCGGCUUUCUAAGUUGGAUGUGAAAACUCUGGGCUCAACCCAGAGCCUGCAUCCAAAACUGGAGAGCUAGGGUUCUGGAGGGGAAAGCGGAAUUCCUGGUGUAGCGGUGAAAUGCGUAGAUAUCAGGAGGAACACCGAUGGCGAAGGCAGGUCUCUGGGCCGAUACUGACGCUGAGGAGCGAAAGCGUGGGGAGCGAACAGG